GCAUAUCAAUAAGCGGAGGAAAAGAAACCAACAGGGAUUGCCUCAGUAGCGGCGAGUGAAGCGGCAAGAGCUCAGAUUUGAAAUCGUGCUUUGCGGCACGAGUUGUAGAUUGCAGGUUGGAGUCUGUGUGGAAGGCGGUGUCCAAGUCCCUUGGAACAGGGCGCCCAGGAGGGUGAGAGCCCCGUGGGAUGCCGGCGGAAGCAGUGAGGCCCUUCUGACGAGUCGAGUUGUUUGGGAAUGCAGCUCCAAGCGGGUGGUAAAUUCCAUCUAAGGCUAAAUACUGGCGAGAGACCGAUAGCGAACAAGUACUGUGAAGGAAAGAUGAAAAGCACUUUGAAAAGAGAGUGAAACAGCACGUGAAAUUGUUGAAAGGGAAGGGUAUUGCGCCCGACAUGGGGAUUGCGCACCGCUGCCUCUCGUGGGCGGCGCUCUGGGUUUCCCUGGGCAGCAUCGGUCUUGCUGCAGGAGAAGGGUCUGGAACGUGGCUCUUCGGAGUGUAUAGCAGGGCAGAUGCUGCGUGCGGGACCGAGACUGCGGCGUGAGUCACGGAUGCUGCAAACGCGCACACCGCCGUCUU
RNAcentral lists this ribosomal RNA (577 nucleotides) under Pichia kudriavzevii. RNAcentral describes it as "eukaryotic LSU rRNA". It matches the Rfam family "Eukaryotic large subunit ribosomal RNA", at positions 38 to 655 of the family's 3401-position model. Lineage: Eukaryota; Fungi; Ascomycota; Pichiomycetes; Pichiales; Pichiaceae. The record is from RNAcentral.